Molecule: ribosomal RNA, 421 nt
Filed under: uncultured bacterium
Lineage: Bacteria
Description: bacterial SSU rRNA
Rfam family: Bacterial small subunit ribosomal RNA
Source: RNAcentral
UAAGGAAUAUUGGUCAAUGGACGCAAGUCUGAACCAGCCAUGCCGCGUGAAGGAUGAAGGUCCUCUGGAUUGUAAACUUCUUUUAUCUGGGACGAAAACGGGAUUUUUAUCUCAAUUGACGGUACCAGAGGAAUAAGCACCGGCUAACUCCGUGCCAGCAGCCGCGGUAAUACGGAGGGUGCGAGCGUUAUCCGGAUUUACUGGGUUUAAAGGGUGCGUAGGUGGGCUUAUAAGUCAGUGGUGCAAUCUCCGAGCUUAACUUGGAAACUGCCGUUGNUACUAUAGGUCUUGAAUUAUCUGGAGGUAAGAGGAAUAUGUCAUGUAGCGGUGAAAUGCUUAGAUAUGACAUAGAACACCAAUUGCGAAGGCAGCUUACUACAUAUAAAUUGACGCUGAGGCACGAAAGCGUGGGGAUCAAACA